GGAUGAGUAUUGGACAAUGGAGGCAACUCUGAUCCAGCCAUGCCGCGUGAAGGUGACUAGCCCUAUGGUGUAAACUUCUUUUAUACAGGAAGAAACGGUUUCACGUGUGAGACUUUGACGGGUACUGUAUGAAUAAGCACCGGCUAACUCCGUGCCAGCAGCCGCGGUAAUACGGAGGGUGCAAGCGUUAUCCGGAAUCAUUGGGUUUAAAGGGUCCGUAGGCGGACUAAUAAGUCAGAGGUGAAAUCCCGCAGCUCAACUGUGGAACUGCCUUUGAAACUGUUAGUCUUGAGUUAUUGUGAAGUGGUUAGAAUAUGUAGUGUAGCGGUGAAAUGCUUUAGAGAUUUACAUUGGAAUUACCGAUUGCGAAUGCAGAUCACUAACAAUAUACUGACGCUGAUGGACGAAAGCGUGGGGAGCGAACA
RNAcentral lists this ribosomal RNA (425 nucleotides) under uncultured Flavobacteriaceae bacterium. RNAcentral describes it as "bacterial SSU rRNA". It matches the Rfam family "Bacterial small subunit ribosomal RNA", at positions 355 to 774 of the family's 1533-position model. Lineage: Bacteria; Pseudomonadati; Bacteroidota; Flavobacteriia; Flavobacteriales; Flavobacteriaceae. The record is from RNAcentral.